AUUGAACGCUGGCGGCAUGCCUAACACAUGCAAGUCGAGCGGAUGAAGGGUGCUUGCUCCUGGAUUCAGCGGCGGACGGGUGAGUAAUGCCUAGGAAUGUGGCUGGGAGUGGGGGAUAACGUGCGGAAACGGGCGCUAAUACCGCAUACGUCCUGAGGGAGGAAGUGGGGGAUCUUCGGACCUCACGCUAUCAGAUGAGCCUAGGUCGGAUUAGCUAGUUGGUGGGGUAAAGGCCUACCAAGGCGACGAUCCGUAACUGGUCUGAGAGGAUGAUCAGUCACACUGGAACUGAGACACGGUCCAGACUCCUACGGGAGGCAGCAGUGGGGAAUAUUGGACAAUGGGCGAAAGCCUGAUCCAGCCAUGCCGCGUGUGUGAAGAAGGUCUUCGGAUUGUAAAGCACUUUAAGUUGGGAGGAAGGGCAGUAAGUUAAUACCUUGCUGUUUUGACGUUACCAACAGAAUAAGCACCGGCUAACUUCGUG
This 484-nucleotide ribosomal RNA is filed under the name uncultured bacterium. RNAcentral describes it as "partial 16S ribosomal RNA". It matches the Rfam family "Bacterial small subunit ribosomal RNA", at positions 30 to 507 of the family's 1533-position model. The record is from RNAcentral.